Non-coding RNA from Paramuricea clavata, 207 nucleotides. The record is from the annotation of a GenBank genome assembly. Lineage: Eukaryota; Metazoa; Cnidaria; Anthozoa; Malacalcyonacea; Plexauridae.
UUAAGAACACUAAAUGUAAAGUGCAUUUGUUUAUUUUUUCAUAGAUUCAUAGAAGGUCACAGCAUUGAAGCGCUCGUUCCAGGGAAAGCAGUGCACCAUCAUGGCGUUACUGGCACUUUAAACAACAUCAGAUAAGAUAUUCUGUAUACAGCUAUUUCAAUUAAGGUUGUCCCCCGAGCAAAGCGGAAAAAUCGAAUAUGAGCGCGA